Molecule: non-coding RNA, 110 nt
Organism: Microdochium bolleyi
Lineage: Eukaryota; Fungi; Ascomycota; Sordariomycetes; Xylariales; Microdochiaceae
Source: the annotation of a GenBank genome assembly
UCCGAAUUGGUGUAGUGGCUAACAUUUGACGCUCUCAUCUCGACUUACUUCUAUCAGGAAGUGUAUGGAAAUGUGCCGUCAAGCCCGGGGUUCGAUUCCCCGAUUCGGAG